Morone saxatilis (striped sea-bass) is the source of this 180-nucleotide small nuclear RNA. RefSeq annotates it as U2 spliceosomal RNA. Lineage: Eukaryota; Metazoa; Chordata; Actinopteri; Moronidae. The transcript has a single exon. The record is from RefSeq and is a predicted model, not a curated record.
AUCGGCUCUCGCCUUUUGCUAAGAUCCAGUGUAGUAUCUGUUCUAUCAGCUUUAAUAUCGAUACGUCCCUACCCGGGACCAUAUAUGUUAAAUGUUUUUGAACUGGAGAUGGAAUAGGGGCUGCCCGCCACUCACGCAUCGAACCUGGUAUCUGCAUACUUCCAGGACCGUGCACCCCUC